This 476-nucleotide ribosomal RNA is filed under the name Microbacterium sp. enrichment culture. RNAcentral describes it as "bacterial SSU rRNA". It matches the Rfam family "Bacterial small subunit ribosomal RNA", at positions 505 to 978 of the family's 1533-position model. Lineage: Bacteria; Bacillati; Actinomycetota; Actinomycetes; Micrococcales; Microbacteriaceae. The record is from RNAcentral.
GUGCCAGCAGCCGCGGUAAUACGUAGGGCGCAAGCGUUAUCCGGAAUUAUUGGGCGUAAAGAGCUCGUAGGCGGUUUGUCGCGUCUGCUGUGAAAUCCGGAGGCUCAACCUCCGGCCUGCAGUGGGUACGGGCAGACUAGAGUGCGGUAGGGGAGAUUGGAAUUCCUGGUGUAGCGGUGGAAUGCGCAGAUAUCAGGAGGAACACCGAUGGCGAAGGCAGAUCUCUGGGCCGUAACUGACGCUGAGGAGCGAAAGGGUGGGGAGCAAACAGGCUUAGAUACCCUGGUGGUCCNCCCCGUAAACGUUGGGAACUAGUUGUGGGGUCCAUUCCACGGAUUCCGUGACGCAGCUAACGCAUUAAGUUCCCCGCCUGGGGAGUACGGCCGCAAGGCUAAAACUCAAAGGAAUUGACGGGGACCCGCACAAGCGGCGGAGCAUGCGGAUUAAUUCGAUGCAACGCGAAGAACCUUACCAGG